This 253-nucleotide ribosomal RNA is filed under the name uncultured bacterium. Its description in RNAcentral is "partial 16S ribosomal RNA". It matches the Rfam family "Bacterial small subunit ribosomal RNA", at positions 524 to 776 of the family's 1533-position model. The record is from RNAcentral.
UACGAAGGAUCCAAGCGUUGUCCGGAUUUACUGGGCUUAAAGGGCGCGUAGGCGGUCUUUUAAGUCAGUGGUGAAAGCCUGUAGCUUAACUAUAGAAUUGCCAUUGAAACUGAAAGUCUCGAGUGUGGUUGAGGUAACUGGAAUAUAUCAUGUAGCGGUGAAAUGCUUAGAUAUGAUAUAGAACACCAAUUGCGAAGGCAGGUUACUGAGCCAUUACUGACGCUGAGGCACGAAAGCGUGGGGAGCAAACAGG